AGAAAGCCCUAGAAAGUUCUACACAGGGAUAUCUGGCUUGUGGCAGCCAAGCGUUUAUAGCGACGUUGCUUUUGAUCCUUCGAUGUCGGCCCUUUCUAUCUACUGAAGCAGAGUUCAGUAAGCGUUGGAUUGUUCAUUCAUUAAUAGGGAACAAGACCUGGGGUUUAGACCGUCGUGAGACAGGCUAGUUU
RNAcentral lists this non-coding RNA (191 nucleotides) under Linnemannia elongata AG-77. RNAcentral's name for it is "Mortierella elongata AG-77 Eukaryotic large subunit ribosomal RNA". It matches the Rfam family "Eukaryotic large subunit ribosomal RNA", at positions 2798 to 2989 of the family's 3401-position model. The record is from Rfam by way of RNAcentral. Lineage: Eukaryota; Fungi; Mortierellomycota; Mortierellomycetes; Mortierellales; Mortierellaceae.